GACCUCGGAUCAGGUAGGAAUACCCGCUGAACUUAAGCAUAUCAAUAAGCGGAGGAAG
This 58-nucleotide ribosomal RNA is filed under the name Robillarda sessilis. RNAcentral's name for it is "partial 28S ribosomal RNA". Lineage: Eukaryota; Fungi; Ascomycota; Sordariomycetes; Amphisphaeriales; Sporocadaceae. The record is from RNAcentral.